UAGCGACCAUUAGCCUCAAUGCUAACGGUCGCUUUAUAAAUUGUCUAAAACUGGUCCUAAGGCUGUGUCUAAGAUGACUUACGAGGACUUAACAUAUAAAUGUAUUCAUGCUGGUCUCUGCUUAGUUAAAACUGUUAGUUCCAGCCUCUGUUCAGUUAGUUUAACCACGAAUAAUGUUAUGAGUGGUAAAAGCUGUUUCUAUGCGUGUAUUCAUGGCUACCACUGACGUCACGUCGACGAGACCGCCGCCAUAUUUGUCCAAUUUGACAGUUCUCCUCAGUUUCGCUAUGGCGGUACACACCUCACACUUGAACUGGGUCCUGUGAAAUAACACAAACCACAUCAUGUUCAUGUCUCUGUAACUGAGACAUUAUAAUAAAUCUAUUUAAAUUCUUGAAUGUAAAUGAUCAGAGAGACAGAGACAGCUGAUAAUGAGCAUUACUCUCCCUGUGUUCUGUGGUUCAGGUAGAUUCAGUCUUUACACUCAGAUAACUAACACUGUCUUUUUUCAGACUGAGAGAGAAACCUGAUUGCUGCUUUGGCUGACUACCUGAACUCUGACCCCUGCUCCUGCUCUGACUGACCCAGAGAGAACUCAGACGCAGAGAGAACCGGACCAGAACUCCUGCUUGGCUGGUGAUCAGAUUUUUAGUCACUGAGGUUCAGUCCAUCACAUCACUGAGUAUAGGAGUGUUUCACAUUUUAAUCACAGAGUUUUUGUGGUUUAUCACAACUGCUGAGUUCACACAUGAAUAUAAAUGUAGUGAAAACAGACCUGUAAACACUGACUGAAGUUAGAGCCAUGUGAGCUGAGCUGUUCUGCCUGUAUAGUGGAUCAGAACAGGUCCCAGCAGCAGAGUCUGACAGUAGAAAGCUGACAGUUGAAAGCUGACAGUUUUAAUGGAACAUCACUAAAGGCAGAAAUCAGUGUGUAAAGUGAGCAGAACAUGUUGUGCAGUGAUCAGUUCUGUAUUGUUCUGCUUCAUGUUGAACAAGUCAGUGGGUCUUGAGAUUAUUUUAAUCAAGUCCACAUU
Long non-coding RNA from Osmerus eperlanus (European smelt), 1034 nucleotides. RefSeq lists it as uncharacterized. The transcript has 3 exons. The record is from RefSeq and is a predicted model, not a curated record. NCBI's taxonomy places the organism in Eukaryota, Metazoa, Chordata, Actinopteri, Osmeriformes, Osmeridae.